CACUCCUGCGGGAGGCAGCAGUGGGGAAUAUUGGACAAUGGGCGCAAGCCUGAUCCAGCCAUGCCGCGUGAGUGAUGAAGGCCCUAGGGUUGUAAAGCUCUUUCACCGGUGAAGAUAAUGACGGUAACCGGAGAAGAAGCCCCGGCUAACUUCGUGCCAGCAGCCGCGGUCAUACGAACGGGGCUAGCGUUGUUCGGAUUUACUGGGCGUAAAGCGCACGUAGGCGGACUAUUAAGUCAGGGGUGAAAUCCCGGGGCUCAACCCCGGAACUGCCUUUGAUACUGGUAGUCUUGAGUUCGGGAGAGGUGGGUGGAAUUCCGAGUGUAGAGGUGAAAUUCGUAGAUAUUCGGAGGAACACCAGUGGCGAAGGCGGCUCACUGGGUCGAUACUGACGCUGAGGGGCGAAAGCGUGGGGAGCAAACAGGAUUAGAAACCCCUGUAGUCCCA
This 447-nucleotide ribosomal RNA is filed under the name uncultured organism. Its description in RNAcentral is "partial 16S ribosomal RNA". It matches the Rfam family "Bacterial small subunit ribosomal RNA", at positions 334 to 797 of the family's 1533-position model. The record is from RNAcentral.